Molecule: ribosomal RNA, 867 nt
Filed under: Learedius learedi
Lineage: Eukaryota; Metazoa; Platyhelminthes; Trematoda; Strigeidida; Spirorchiidae
Description: partial large subunit ribosomal RNA
Source: RNAcentral
AGUACCGUGAGGGAAAGUUGAAAAGUACUUUGAAGAGAGAGUAAACAGUGCGUGAAACUGCUCAAAGGUAAACGGGUGGAGGUUGAACUGCAAGCUCCGGGGAUUCAGCUGAUGAGUGUGAUUGCGUUCGGGCAGCUUGGCCGGCCUUCUGAUGUCUGUCUAGUGGCAGGUGCCUUCCCUUGGGGGUUGGUAUGUGUGAUGCGCUUACCAUGCGCCGCACGCAUUGGGGGUGAUGGGUCUGCUUGUCAGUGCACUUUCUCGGGGUGUUCACCACGACCGGCACAGCCGUCUGUCUGCUUUGGUCAAACUGAUCAGGUCUGGUUAUUGCUAGGCUUGGUUGGGAUGGAAGGUAGCCCGUGUUCACUUGUUGGACUUUGGGUAUAAUAAGCUGGCCACUGUGGAUCUGUAUGGUGUGUCGGAGAUGGCGGCUUUGCAUGCGUGCUCUGUCCUGCGGGCGGGAUUGAGUCCGGUUGGCUUGUUACUGACUUCGGUUAGUCGGUCGAUGGCUUAGUCUUGUUCAGUGGGCGGUUGCGUGUGUGACUUGGCUUGGGCCAAUAGUCUGUGGUGUAGUGGUAGACGAUCCACCUGACCCGUCUUGAAACACGGACCAAGGAGUUUAACAUAUGCGCGAGUCAUUGGGCGUUACGAAACCCAAAGGCGAAGUGAAGGUAAAGGUUUGGCUAGUCCGAACUGAGGUGAGAUCCCGUUGGUUUGCCUAAUUACUUACCGAGCUGUGAACAGCGGGCGCAUCACCGGCCCGUCCCAUGGCGUAGACAUGUGACCUUGUGUUAUGUGCACCGUCGGGGCGGAGCAAGAGCGCAUACGUUGAGACCCGAAAGAUGGUGAACUAUGCUUGCUARGKUGAAG